Molecule: ribosomal RNA, 543 nt
Filed under: Escherichia coli
Lineage: Bacteria; Pseudomonadati; Pseudomonadota; Gammaproteobacteria; Enterobacterales; Enterobacteriaceae
Description: partial 23S ribosomal RNA
Rfam family: Bacterial large subunit ribosomal RNA
Source: RNAcentral
CGUUCUGUAAGCCUGUGAAGGUGUGCUGUGAGGCAUGCUGGAGGUAUCAGAAGUGCGAAUGCUGACAUAAGUAACGAUAAAGCGGGUGAAAAGCCCGCUCGCCGGAAGACCAAGGGUUCCUGUCCAACGUUAAUCGGGGCAGGGUGAGUCGACCCCUAAGGCGAGGCCGAAAGGCGUAGUCGAUGGGAAACAGGUUAAUAUUCCUGUACUUGGUGUUACUGCGAAGGGGGGACGGAGAAGGCUAUGUUGGCCGGGCGACGGUUGUCCCGGUUUAAGCGUGUAGGCUGGUUUUCCAGGCAAAUCCGGAAAAUCAAGGCUGAGGCGUGAUGACGAGGCACUACGGUGCUGAAGCAACAAAUGCCCUGCUUCCAGGAAAAGCCUCUAAGCAUCAGGUAACAUCAAAUCGUACCCCAAACCGACACAGGUGGUCAGGUAGAGAAUACCAAGGCGCUUGAGAGAACUCGGGUGAAGGAACUAGGCAAAAUGGUGCCGUAACUUCGGGAGAAGGCACGCUGAUAUGUAGGUGAAGUCCCUCGCGGAUGG